GUUCCUAUUUACUUGCAAUAAAUACUAUAAGGUAUACUAUGUUGCAGGUUAAGCAGGAUGCAUUCUUUCCUGCAGAUCUGCUUUUCUUGGCUAGCACCAAUGCUGAUGGUGUCUGCUACAUUGAGACUGCUAAUUUGGAUGGGGAAACCAAUUUGAAGAUUAGGAAAGCAUUG
Molecule: long non-coding RNA, 173 nt
Organism: Glycine soja
Lineage: Eukaryota; Viridiplantae; Streptophyta; Magnoliopsida; Fabales; Fabaceae
Exons: 2
Source: RefSeq, a predicted model, not a curated record